AAGUCCAUAGUUCAGUGGUAGAGUGUGUGCUUGGCAUGCACGAGGUCCUGGGUUUGAGCCUCAGUAUUUA
This 70-nucleotide transfer RNA is filed under the name Camelus bactrianus (Bactrian camel). It matches the Rfam family "tRNA". Rfam says of the family: Transfer RNA (tRNA) molecules are approximately 80 nucleotides in length. RNAcentral also lists the same sequence under 2 other names. The record is from Rfam by way of RNAcentral. Lineage: Eukaryota; Metazoa; Chordata; Mammalia; Artiodactyla; Camelidae.